AUGCUCUUCAUGAAGAGUUUGGGCUUCCCUGGUGGUGCUGUGGUAAAGAAUCCACCUGCCAAUGUAGGAGACGCAAGUUUGAUCUCUGGAUUGGGAAGGAAAUGGCAACCCACUCCAGUAUUCUUGCCUGGGAAAUCCCAUGGACUGAGGAGCCUGGAGGGCUGCAGUCUAUGGGUCAGACACGACUUAGCAACUAAACAACAGCAACAAAGUGGAAAAUUUAAUUUCACGCAGGUUAAUGGAUUUUCCAAGGCACCUUGA
Molecule: long non-coding RNA, 261 nt
Filed under: Ovis aries (sheep)
Lineage: Eukaryota; Metazoa; Chordata; Mammalia; Artiodactyla; Bovidae
Description: lncRNA (ENSOARG00000026511.1)
Source: RNAcentral